Molecule: long non-coding RNA, 496 nt
Organism: Centropristis striata (black sea bass)
Lineage: Eukaryota; Metazoa; Chordata; Actinopteri; Perciformes; Serranidae
Exons: 2
Source: RefSeq, a predicted model, not a curated record
UGUUUUUGGACUGUGGGAUGCAAAAAGUUUUGUUUUUAUAUCUAAAAAUUCUGCAGAAUCUUGUGGGCAGGACUGUUUCUACUGGAAAUAAAAUCUAAUUUUUUUUACUGCAUUGUAUAUAUAUAUUGUGUUUGACUGUAUAAUAAAGACACAAAGGCAACCCCAUAGUCACCAACUAGUUUUGUUCAGCUUUUGGAACCAUAUUGCUUUUUGGUGGACGUGUCAAUCAAACACUGUGAUUUAGAAAUGAUGGUGAAUCAAUGUGCUUCAAGUUAUUUACUUUACUUUAAAAAAAAUAAAAAAUAAAAAAAAUAAAAAGCUGGUCUCAUUCAACCACUAGAAAAGGUGCAUAAUUGAAGCUCUCUUCCUGCUGCCUAAGAUAUGCAGUAACAACGAGGACGAAAAAAAAAAAGAGAAAAGAAUAAAAAAAAAGCAAAUCCAAAUUCAAUUAUAAAAAAAAUAAAUAGAUAGAAACAAACCUAGCAGUCCUACUGGU